Molecule: unclassified non-coding RNA, 356 nt
Filed under: soil metagenome
Description: partial contains 5.8S ribosomal RNA, internal transcribed spacer 2, and large subunit ribosomal RNA
Rfam family: 5.8S ribosomal RNA (bases 1-120)
Source: RNAcentral
GAUGAAGAACGCAGCGAAAUGCGAUAAGUAAUGUGAAUUGCAGAAUUCAGUGAAUCAUCGAAUCUUUGAACGCACAUUGCGCCCGCCAGUACUCUGGCGGGCAUGCCUGUCUGAGCGUCAUUUCAACCCUCGCGCCCGGCUUCUGUCGGGGGCGGUGUUGGGGAUCGGCCUCCCGUCUUCCGGGCGGCCGGCCCCUAAAUGGAGUGGCGACCGCGCCGUAGCCUCCUCUGCGUAGUAGUGAAACACUCGCGGGCGGAGAGCGGUGCGGCCCGCCGUAAAACCCCCAACUCUUCUAAGGUUGACCUCAGAUCAGGUAGGAAUACCCGCUGAACUUAAGCAUAUCAAUAAGCGGAGGA